CCUUUCAAUGCAGAAGAGUUGAGGUGGUUGAGUAUCUCGCCCCUCAAUUCUCGCUGUAUUUUUACCCUUGUUUUUCUCAUACUAUUAUUUCCUCGGCAGGCCAGCCUGCCGGGUGAAACAACUUCAACCUGUUUAAUUUUCAAUCAGCGUCUGAACAAAUUAAUAAUUA
Molecule: unclassified non-coding RNA, 169 nt
Filed under: soil metagenome
Description: partial internal transcribed spacer 1
Source: RNAcentral